CUACCAUAAGUGUUUUGAGGCUCUAAAUUGAUUCCUCCUCUCUCUCUCUGUCUCUGUCUCUGUCUCUGUCUCUGUCUCUGUCUCUCUCUCUCUCUCUCUCACACACACACACACACACACACACACACACACACACACACACCACAAACAAAACCACCCACCCCAAAAUGUGAUUUGGGGCAGGAAGAAUGGCUCAGCAAGCAAGAGGUACUUGCUGCCCAAGUGUAAUGACCUGAGUCUGAUCCCUGGAAGCCACAUGGUAGAAGGAAAGGACAUCCUCAAGUUGUCCCGUGUCCUCUGCUGAUACACACCUUCUCACUUAAGUAAAUACAUAAUACAUAAAUAAUAAUAAAUGAGUAAAUACAUAAAAUGUUUAAAAGUUUAACAUGAUGUAAUAGAUUAGAAACUACAUAAACGGGCUGGAGAGAUGGGAGGUGGUGCUGGGUCAGUGGGUAGGAGUGCUUCCUUCACUCCAGGUUCCUCAUGUCCUAGCACCCACAUCAGGUGGCUCACAGCCAAUUGUGACGUCAGCUUCAGGGGAUCUAACACCCUCUUUUGGCCUCCAUGAACACCCUUCCAUGGGUGGCAUACACAAAGACAGACACACUUGAAUAUGUACAAAUACAAUGAAAACCAACACAUUCCUGAGCAAUAUACCCCUAAUAUAGACUUCACCCGAUUAAGAAAUUUGUCCAUACUACCAUCCCUGUCAGGGUUUUCUAGAGACGCACCCAAAAUAGGGAAGAUGUUAAUUUGUUUAAUUAAACCCAUAAUUUUCCUAGGUGAUAAUGACAUAAUUAAAAAAAACAACAACAAAAAAAAAAGCCAGGUAUAGUGUCUUACACCUGUAAUCUCAGACUCAGGAGGGCUCCGCAGGACAACUGAGAUGAGUUUGGGGCCAGAGAGUGAGACACUGUUUCAAACAAACCUGGGCAGGACAGAUGGCUCAGGAGUUAAAAGCACUUGCACAGGAUUGGAGCUGUUUCCAGCACCUGGAGUUCUGUUCCCAGCACCCAUGUCAGACAGCUCAACUGCCUGGAACUCCUCUGGUCCCCACCAGGGACCCUCUCAUGAGGAUCAGAAAUCCCACUUCCUCUUCUCCUACCCAACCAUUGGCUAAUUAGCUCUUUAUUAACCAAUCAGAUAUGAGGGAAAACAAUUUUUACAACAUUAAAACAGGAAAUGCUUGAAAAUGCCAAUGCCUAGAUUGCAACCAGAUUUAUGGGCACAGUAAUCAGCAUCUGAAUACACAGUGCCCACCUCCCCCCAACACACACACACACACACACACACACACACACACACACACACUGUGGUGGUUCAAAUAUCCCUGGCCCAGGGAGUGGCACUAUUUGGAGGUGUGGCCUUGUUGCAGUUGGUGGGCCACCAUGGGCUUGGGCUUUAUGACCCUCAUCCUAGCUGCCUGGAAGCUAGUCUUCUCCUGUUUGUCUUCGGAAUAAGAUGUAGAACUCUCAGCUCUUCCUACAUCAUGCCUGCUUGGACAAAGCCAUGCUCAUGCCUUGAUAAUGGACUGAACCUCUGAACCUGUGAACCAGUCCCAGUUAAAUGUUGGCCUUAUAAGAGUUGCCUUGGGGGGCUGGGGAUUUAGCUCAGUGGUAGAGCGCUUACCUAGGAAGCGCAAG
Long non-coding RNA from Rattus norvegicus (Norway rat), 1643 nucleotides. Lineage: Eukaryota; Metazoa; Chordata; Mammalia; Rodentia; Muridae. The record is from Ensembl.